CCUACGGGUGGCAGCAGUGAGGAAUAUUGGUCAAUGGGCGCGAGCCUGAUCCAGCCACGUAGCGUGAAGGAUGACUGACCUCCGGGUUGUAAACUUCUUUUAUAAAGGACUAAAGUGCGGCACGUGUCUCUUUUUCUAUGUACUUUAUGAUUCCGGAUCGCCUAACUCCGUGCAAGCAGCCGCGGUAAUACGGAGGAUCCGAGCGUUAUCAGGAUUUAUUGGGUUUAAAGGGAGCGUAGAUGGGUUGUUAAGUCAGUUGUGAAAGUUUGCGGCUCAACCGUACAAUUGCAAUUGAUACUGGCAGCCUUGAGUGCAGGUGAGGUAGGCGGAAUUCGUGGUGUAGCGGUGAAAUGCUUAGAUAUCACGAAGAACUCCGAUGGCGAAGGCAGCUUACUAGACUGCCACUGACAUUGAGGCUCGAAAGUGUGGGGAUCAAACAGGAUUAGAUACCCGUGUAGUC
Molecule: ribosomal RNA, 460 nt
Filed under: uncultured bacterium
Lineage: Bacteria
Description: partial 16S ribosomal RNA
Rfam family: Bacterial small subunit ribosomal RNA
Source: RNAcentral